UACGGAGGGUGCGAGCGUUGUUCGGAAUUACUGGGCGUAAAGCGCGUGCAGGCGGCCUAUUAAGUCCGAUGUGAAAUCCCGGGGCUCACCCCCGGAAGUGCAUCGGAUACUGAUAGGCUGGAGUACCGGAGAGGAGGACGGAAUUCCUGGUGUAGCGGUGAAAUGCGUAGAUAUCAGGAGGAACACCGGUGGCGAAGGCGGUCCUCUGGACGGAUACUGACGCUGAGACGCGAAAGCGUGGGGAGCAAACAGG
RNAcentral lists this ribosomal RNA (253 nucleotides) under uncultured bacterium. Its description in RNAcentral is "partial 16S ribosomal RNA". It matches the Rfam family "Bacterial small subunit ribosomal RNA", at positions 524 to 776 of the family's 1533-position model. The record is from RNAcentral.